CGGCAUGCUUUACACAUGCAAGUCGAACGGCAGCGGGUACUUCGGGAUGCCGGCGAGUGGCGAACGGGUGAGUAAUGCAUCGGAACGUACCUGGUCGUGGGGGAUAACACAGCGAAAGUUGUGCUAAUACCGCAUGAGACCUGAGGGUGAAAGCGGGGGCUCGCAAGACCUCGCGCGACUGGAGCGGCCGAUGUCAGAUUAGCUAGUUGGUAGGGUAAAGGCCUACCAAGGCGACGAUCUGUAGCGGGUCUGAGAGGAUGAUCCGCCACACUGGGACUGAGACACGGCCCAGACUCCUACGGGAGGCAGCAGUGGGGAAUUUUGGACAAUGGGCGCAAGCCUGAUCCAGCCAUGCCGCGUGAGUGAAGAAGGCCUUCGGGUUGUAAAGCUCUUUCAGCCGGGAAGAAAUCGCACGGGUUAAUACCCUGUGCGGAUGACGGUACCGGAACAAGAAGCACCGGCUAACUACGUGCCAGCAGCCGCGGUAAUACGUAGGGUGCGAGCGUUAAUCGGAAUUACUGGGCGUAAAGCGUGCGCAGGCGGAUGCUUAAGUCA
This 555-nucleotide ribosomal RNA is filed under the name uncultured Gammaproteobacteria bacterium. Its description in RNAcentral is "bacterial SSU rRNA". It matches the Rfam family "Bacterial small subunit ribosomal RNA", at positions 40 to 590 of the family's 1533-position model. The record is from RNAcentral. Lineage: Bacteria; Pseudomonadati; Pseudomonadota; Gammaproteobacteria.